This 388-nucleotide long non-coding RNA is filed under the name Canis lupus familiaris (dog). RNAcentral describes it as "lncRNA (ENSCAFG00000059160.1)". The record is from RNAcentral. Lineage: Eukaryota; Metazoa; Chordata; Mammalia; Carnivora; Canidae.
AGGAAAAAAAAGCCUAAAACGAGCCUUGUCUAAGAGCUAGCCACCGCAGGUGCUGGACUCUUCUAGAAAACAUGUCCCGUCGGCCUGGUCUCUCUUUGUAAACACUGAUAACUGCUGGUUGGUUGGCCAGAGUUUCUCAUCAAGGAGUACAUGCUGUUUGCUCCCCAGAUGGACAGCCUGGAUGAGCUACAAAUCCACAGAGCCUGGGACACAAGGUGAAAAACCAGUAUGCUGGCAUGGAGAUAUGACCUUCAUAUAGAGUCAAACAUAAGAAAGUAGAUGUCGGUACAUUAGGUAUGGUAUGUAUCACUUUGUGUUAAAAAACACACUAAUGUUUAUAUUAUGUCAUUAAGGGUAUUUAUCCUAGUGGUAAUUGAAGUUAUUUUGG